GACGAACGCUGGCGGCGUGCCUAAUACAUGCAAGUCGAACGCAGUGGGUACGGGUUAGUAACACGUGGUUAACCUCCCCAUCAGAGGGGAUAACACUUGGAAACAGGUGCUAAACCUAUACUGCUGGAUGGACUCGCGGUGCAUUCGCUAGUGGGUAAGGUAACGGCUCACCAAGGCCACGAUGCAUAGCCGACCUGAGAGGGUGAUCGGCCACACUGGGACUGAGACACGGCCCAGACUCCGACGGGAGGCAGCAGUAGGGAAUCUUCGGCAAGGGACGAAAGUCUGACCGAGCAACGCCGCGUGAGUGAAGAAGGUUUUCGGAUCGUAAAACUCUGUUGUUAGAGAAGCGGUAUCUAACCAGAAAGCCACGGCUAACUACGUGCCAGCAGCCGCGGUAAUUC
This 404-nucleotide ribosomal RNA is filed under the name uncultured bacterium. RNAcentral's name for it is "partial 16S ribosomal RNA". It matches the Rfam family "Bacterial small subunit ribosomal RNA", at positions 28 to 526 of the family's 1533-position model. The record is from RNAcentral.